AUUCAGCUAACCAGUCCCAAAUCGGGCGAAACACGCGUCAUGGAU
Schistosoma rodhaini is the source of this 45-nucleotide non-coding RNA. Lineage: Eukaryota; Metazoa; Platyhelminthes; Trematoda; Strigeidida; Schistosomatidae. The record is from Rfam.